This 76-nucleotide transfer RNA is filed under the name Azospirillum brasilense. RNAcentral describes it as "tRNA-Thr". It matches the Rfam family "tRNA". Rfam says of the family: Transfer RNA (tRNA) molecules are approximately 80 nucleotides in length. Their secondary structure includes four short double-helical elements and three loops (D, anti-codon, and T loops). RNAcentral also lists the same sequence under 19 other names. The record is from RNAcentral. Lineage: Bacteria; Pseudomonadati; Pseudomonadota; Alphaproteobacteria; Rhodospirillales; Azospirillaceae.
GCCGGUUUAGCUCAGUUGGUAGAGCAGCGGUUUUGUAAACCGAAGGUCGCGGGUUCGAGCCCUGCAACCGGCACCA